Molecule: ribosomal RNA, 460 nt
Filed under: uncultured bacterium
Lineage: Bacteria
Description: partial 16S ribosomal RNA
Rfam family: Bacterial small subunit ribosomal RNA
Source: RNAcentral
CCUACGGGAGGCAGCAGUGAGGAAUAUUGGUCAAUGGCCGUAAGGCUGAACCAGCCAAGUCGCGUGAAGGAUGACUGCCCUAUGGUUUGUAAACUUCUUUUAUAGGGGAAUAAAGGUAUCCACGUGUGGCUUUUUGCAUGUACCCUAUGAAUAAGCAUCGGCUAACUCCGUGCCAGCAGCCGCGGUAAUACGGAGGAUGCGAGCGUUAUCCGGAUUUAUUGGGUUUAAAGGGUGCGUAGGUUGUUUUUUAAGUCAGUGGUGAAAGUUUGUGGCUCAACCAUAAAAUUGCCGUUGAUACUGGAAGACUUGAGUGUAUUUGAGGUAGGCGGAAUGCGUGGUGUAGCGGUGAAAUGUAUAGAUAUCACGCAGAACUCCGAUUGCGAAGGCAGCUUACUAAGCCGUAACUGACACUGAUGCACGAAAGCGUGGGGAUCAAACAGGAUUAGAUACCCGUGUAGUC